RNAcentral lists this long non-coding RNA (337 nucleotides) under Lotus japonicus. RNAcentral describes it as "long non-coding RNA (LJAP_LNC001330)". Lineage: Eukaryota; Viridiplantae; Streptophyta; Magnoliopsida; Fabales; Fabaceae. The record is from RNAcentral.
AAGUUUUGAUCUAGUAGUACAACUCUAUGUUUUGAUGAUUACAAGUUAACCUUUUGAUAUGAACAAUUGUGGUACUCUAACGUGUUUUUCUGAGUGUGCUAUUUACAGGCUCUGACCUCUAUUCAAUCUCACACAAAUCAGAAGCACUGUGCUUAAAGAGUGAACCAAGCAACGCUUUCGCAUUCACCAUGUUCAGUAUGAACAGUGGAAAAGCUUCAGAAGUUCUGAAGUUAUACAAACUCUGAUGUGGACUCAGUCACUAGAAGCUAUGAAGAUCCAGAAGUUCUGAUAACCAAGAAACACUGAAGGUUCAGAUGUUCUGAUGGUGUAGAAGACU